GAUGAACGCUGGCGGCGUGCCUAAUACAUGCAAGUCGAGCGAACAGACGAGGCGCUUGCUCCUCUGACGUUAGCGGCUGACGGGUGAGUAACACGUGGAUAACCUACCUAUAAGACUGGGAUAACUUCGGGAAACCGGCGCUAAUACCGGAUAAUAUAUUGAACCGCAUGGUUCAAUAGUGAAAGACGGUUUUGCUGUCACUUAUAGAUGGAUCCGCGCCGCAUUAGCUAGUUGGUAAGGUAACGGCUUACCAAGGCAACGAUGCGUAGCCGACCUGAGAGGGUGGACGGCCACACUGGAACUGAGGCACGGUCCAGACUCCUACGGGAGGCAGCAGUAGGGAAUCUUACGCAAUGGGGGAAAGCCUGACGGAGCAACGCCGCGUGAGUGAUGAAGGUGUUCGGAUCGUAAAGCUCUGUUAUUAGGGAAGAACAAAUGUGUAAGUAACUAUGCACGUCUUGACGGUACCUAAUCAGAAAGCCACGGCUAACUACGUG
Molecule: ribosomal RNA, 497 nt
Filed under: uncultured bacterium
Lineage: Bacteria
Description: partial 16S ribosomal RNA
Rfam family: Bacterial small subunit ribosomal RNA
Source: RNAcentral